This 252-nucleotide ribosomal RNA is filed under the name uncultured bacterium. RNAcentral's name for it is "partial 16S ribosomal RNA". It matches the Rfam family "Bacterial small subunit ribosomal RNA", at positions 524 to 776 of the family's 1533-position model. The record is from RNAcentral.
UACAGAGGAUGCAAGCGUUAUCCGGAAUGAUUGGGCGUAAAGCGUCUGUAGGUGGCUUUUUAAGUCCGCCGUCAAAUCCAGGGCUCAACUCUGGACAGGCGGUGGAAACUACCAAGCUGGAGUACGGUAGGGGCAGAGGGAAUUUCCGGUGGAGAGGUGAAAUGCGUAGAGAUCGGAAAGAACACCAACGGCGAAAGCAAUCUGCUGGGCCGACACUGACACUGAGAGACGAAAGCUAGGGGAGCGAAUGGG